CGGGGGUGCGCGCGCGCGCGCGGCAGCGGCUUCACUUCUCUCCGGGCAGCGGGGGCAGGAGCGGCGGCGCAGGGAGAAGCGGCGCGGCCGUCGCUGCUGCUCGGGAGAGACGGGAAAGGGGAGAGGAAACCGAGAGCGAGGAGCGCGGGGCAGCGGGCUCAUGACUCAGUGAGCGGCUGCACCCCCUUUCCAGCCCCGCGCCCGGCCGGAGUCGGGGCGCCCGCGACGGAUUGUCCCGCAGCCUGUGCCCGGCACCAGCGAGAGAGGGACCUGCGCUCGCCUGCAGUGCAGCAUCUGCCAUGUCUACAGAGGGGCAGAGAGUGGAUGAUAGCCCAAGCACUAGUGGAGGUAGCUCUGAUGGAGAUCAGCGUGAAGGUGUUCAGCAGGAACAAGAAAGGGAGCAAGUUCAACCAAAGAAAAAAGAGGGGAAAAUAUCAAGCAAAACAGCUGCUAAAUUGUCAACUAGCGCUAAAAGAAUUCAGAAAGAACUUGCAGAAAUUACAUUAGACCCUCCUCCGAACUGUAGUGCUGGACCCAAAGGAGACAACAUUUAUGAAUGGAGGUCAACUAUACUUGGACCUCCAGGGUCUGUAUAUGAAGGUGGAGUUUUCUUCCUUGACAUAACCUUUUCACCGGACUAUCCUUUUAAACCACCCAAGGUCACGUUCCGGACAAGGAUCUACCACUGUAACAUUAACAGCCAAGGCGUCAUCUGCCUGGACAUUUUAAAGGACAACUGGAGUCCAGCGUUAACCAUUUCUAAAGUUCUCCUCUCCAUCUGCUCCCUCCUCACAGACUGUAACCCCGCUGACCCCCUGGUUGGAAGCAUUGCCACUCAGUACAUGACUAACAGAGCAGAGCACGACAGAAUGGCCAGACAGUGGACCAAGCGAUACGCCACAUAGGAACCUCCUCUAGGAUUUGCUGGACCUGUGCAAGCACAUUCACUAAGUGCAUCAAUAGCCCUUCCCUUCAUUCUUAUUUUUUAUUAAAUCUUGAACCAUUUUGUGACAAAAGGUUGUCCUUACUUCCUUUUUUUGUUUGUUUGUUUCAUUUUGGUUUAUUUUUAUUUUUAUUUGUUCUGGGUUUUUUUGUUCUGUUAACUUGAAAGUUGUUUCCCUCAAAUGUAGACAGGGAAUUUUGGUUAUCAGUGCAAAGAAUGUUGGAUCUGUAAUAGUAUAGAGCUUUAUCAGAAAGCUUUGUAUUAAUGUGUGGGGUUUUUUUUUCUUUCAUGUGGUUUUGGGGAAAACAAACAAAUUCAGAAUUAUAUCUCAUUUCUACUUAAAUGUAGUGUUUAGGGUUAUUUUUUUGUACUGAAGUCUUUAAUGGUGGGUGCAUGCUACUGGGAACAAGUUUUGUAUAAAAGCUUAAAAUCAAGAAUCACUGUGCAUUACUAAGACUGUGUUUAUCACUAGCCUUCUGUUUCCCACACAAAAGGCUAUUGCAUUGAACAAAUUAAUAUGUAUUUUGAUUUACUUAAAAAACAAAAAAAAAAGUGCUUGUAAAUUUCUUAGGGACCUGCCACUUUUGACUGUGGAUCAGUUGAUGUACACUUGUAUUAUUAAAGCACUCAAUAAAACACUGUGGCUGAUAAA
Long non-coding RNA from Taeniopygia guttata (zebra finch), 1595 nucleotides. RefSeq annotates it as ubiquitin-conjugating enzyme E2 E2. The record is from RefSeq and is marked validated. Lineage: Eukaryota; Metazoa; Chordata; Aves; Passeriformes; Estrildidae.